AAGUUUGAAGUGAAUAAUCACAGUUAAUUUCGACCUAACCCUUGGUAUAAAAUAUACCCAAACUUA
RNAcentral lists this transfer RNA (66 nucleotides) under Nemoptera coa. RNAcentral describes it as "tRNA-Arg". The record is from RNAcentral. Lineage: Eukaryota; Metazoa; Arthropoda; Insecta; Neuroptera; Nemopteridae.